UGGGGAAUCUUGCACAAUGGGCGAAAGCCUGAUGCAGCCAUGCCGCGUGGAUGAUGAAGGCCCUAGGGUUGUAAAAUCCUUUCGCCAGGGAUGAUAAUGACAGUACCUGGUAAAGAAGCCCCGGCUAACUUCGUGCCAGCAGCCGCGGUAAUACGAAGGGGGCUAGCGUUGUUCGGAAUUACUGGGCGUAAAGCGCGCGUAGGCGGACUCUUAAGCCAGAUGUGAAAUCCCGGGGCUCAACCCCGGAACUGCAUUUGGAACUGGGAGUCUAGAGUUCAGGAGAGGUUCGUGGAAUGCAGAGUGUAGAGGUGAAAUUCGUAGAUAUUGGGUGGAACACCGGUGGCGAAAGCGGCUCUCUGGUCCGGACCUGACGCUGAGGCGCGAAAGCGUGGGGAGCAAACAGGAUUAGAUACCCCUGUAGUCC
This 424-nucleotide ribosomal RNA is filed under the name uncultured prokaryote. Its description in RNAcentral is "bacterial SSU rRNA". It matches the Rfam family "Bacterial small subunit ribosomal RNA", at positions 355 to 796 of the family's 1533-position model. The record is from RNAcentral.